Lycium ferocissimum is the source of this 3243-nucleotide long non-coding RNA. RefSeq lists it as uncharacterized. Lineage: Eukaryota; Viridiplantae; Streptophyta; Magnoliopsida; Solanales; Solanaceae. The transcript is spliced from 2 exons. The record is from RefSeq and is a predicted model, not a curated record.
AGAACUAACCAAACCAACCCCUUUUCUCUCCCAAAAGAAAACCUAGCCGUCACCAUCCACCCCAUCCCCAUCACGUCACUUCCGUCACCUCACCGCCGGCUCCACCGUCGGACCGCUGGAUCAAAGUGGUCAUCGACGCCACUGUCCUCAUCAGUCGCCUUUUCUCCCAUCACCCAUCUCCCUUUUUCUGAAAAAUGGAGCUCGACAACUCAUAAAAGGUCGAUUAAGACCUCUAAGAAAGGGGAAGAGCAAAGAUCCAUCAGCCCAUCUCUCAAUCCGAUGGAUACAAACCAGAAUCAGCAAUAUUGCUGCCCCAAACAGCUCUUUCUCCUUCAAAUCACCUCUGAAAAGUUCUCGGCUGAGCAAGGACUGCUUGAAGCGGAUUUGGAGACUUGACGACGACAUUAGCCUCAGUUCGCUGUCCCGCAAAAGGUUAGUAAUCGCCCUCGCUUUACCUUUUGUCUUCAGUUGUUAGGAGUGUAUGUAUAUGCUGUUAUUAAGUAAUGUUUUCAUUGUUUUGCCUAUUUGAGCUUGGUUUGCUGCUCUGUUCGGUUCUGCCCUAAAUCUGCAUAUAAAAGAUAGCUAAGAAUAUAUGAAGGAACUAUCGAUUAAAUUUUAGAACAUGUGAAUGAGCUCAUCGCUCGUUUAAAUCAUGUCUCAUAUUUCUGUUAUAAUCUCUCUUGUUAUUUCUAUCAAAUCAGUAUGUAUUGUAGCCAAAUAGAGCUAAAAAUAUAGUCAUUGGAUUGUUUGUUGGUAGCUGGUCUGUUUUGUUUCGAAUUUGUUUGGUUUUAAAUAGUAGAUGAAGAGGGGUAAAGGAGACUAAUUGCUCCUGGAAAAAUGGUAGUGUGACUUUUUCAACACUAGCAUCCUGUCAAUUUUUUUAAUUCCAUCCAUUAAUCUAGAGGGACUAUUUUAUCAUAAAUCUAGUUGAAAACAGUACAUAAAGAUUUUGGCGUAAGUUGUGAGUUUUCAAAAGCCAACUUGCUGACCCUUUAGGAUAUAAACCUGCGUCUGAGUCAAUGUUUGUAUGGAUUCUGAAAUACUGCAAUAUUGAAAUAUAAAUGAGGUCACGAAGUAGUAAGAAGCCAAGAUUGGUUUUAAAAUCUUCCUUGUGUUAGGUAUGUUUAGGUAUGUGUUAAUUGGUUCAUGUUAAAAUUUUGAGUAGGUUUGUUGUGAAUUUAGUCUUCUCAGUACUGCUUGUUUUAAAAUCACUACUAUAACAUUUUGGAAAGAUUUUUUAAUUUAGUAGCAUAUCUUUUAGCUGAAUCCUCACAAGUAGUGUGUGACACCUUUGAGCUUUAUGUCUAAAUUUUUUUUGCUUCCUAUAAUGUCCAGAUGAUCCAGUUUGGGAUUUUGUAAUAUGGAAAACAAAAAUGCUUGUUUGAAGCUUGGUCUCUGUUUUGUUUCUCAUGUAUUUUUUUUUUGUUUUGUUUUACAAAGAAUAUCAAAGUGUAAAAAAUGGAUAAAUUAUUAUGUACUACCUGAGUUUGUCUUCUCUUUAUGCCUGGAUAACAAGGUUUCUUAGGCGUUCUAAUGACACUAAAAAAUCUGAAUAGAAUUAAAGAGAGCGACAGUUUGUUUCAACAUGAUUUUUGCAUAGUUUUCCUGUUGGUAUUAUAGGGUUCGGAUUGAAUUUUUGAAGUAAGUCAUUUGCGGCUUUUGAGUCUGGUUAUUCUGAACAAGUUGUACUUACUCAAAGGGAGGUCUCAUUUGCUUGUGUACUCGAAAGAACUAAGGCAGGGGCAUAUGUAAAAAACUCAGUAGCUAUUUUGCUUCCCUUGUGUGUUCGUGAGGUAGUUACUGAAGUUUCGAUAAACUUGAACGUACGCUUGAUAAUCCGUGAUCCUACCUCUUUUGUGUGGUUAAAUUCUUUCUUUAAAAAUCAUCUUUUAUUUCAAAAGCAAUGUGUUAGUUUAACUAAGAAAGUAAAUUGUUUAGGUGUAUCUUUUUCUAGAAUACGGUCGUCUUGUUCCUAUUUUUUUUUAAGAAUCUUUAAUAUCCAUGUUGCACAUGUAGAACAAGCUUAGACUUGAAAACGAGCCUUUGGUCUCUCUUUUGAUAUUAUUUCCUGCUUAAAUCAUGACUUGGGGAAUCUUGUUUACCUAAGUAUGAAAGUUUAGUUUGUGUUGAGAAUCAGGAGGUAGUGGUUGUCACUUUGUUUUGAAUACCUUUGUAAAUCGAGUACGUGCUAAACAUAAUUUCCAUGCUAAAGUUCUGGUUUGUUAUUUUGCGCAUUCCUGUGGGUUUUAUGGCCUAGAAAUAAAAGCUAUAAGACUGAAAUUUUGCAUUAAUUGUAGACUAUUACACAUUCUAGUUAAAUCACAAUAGUUAGUUUAUUUCAUGGGUUGGAAUUGUUAAUACAUCUCUUUUUCCUGCAUAUAAGAAGUUUCAUUUGAACUUGAUCGGUUUCUAGACUAAUAUGACAAAGGUCCUGGGUAUUAAGUGACAUAGUGCUUUGAUGCUUUGGUCUUUUAAGCCUUUUGCAAGUGUGUGGAUAUGUACUGCAGGUUCUUUCUUUUAGCAGCAAUUUACAAGAAAUCUUAAACUUGAUUAAGCCUUUUCAGGCUUGCUUAUUAAGAAGUUAUAACAAGAAGGUUUUGAAAUAAGUUGAUAACUUGUUAGUUAUUACCUCUCUUGUUUGAACUUUGAACUAAAUGUUGUAUUAUUUAAACUAAGUAAAGGACCUACCAUUAAGGUGAGAUAAUCUGUGUUGCUUCCCUUUUUUUUAAAGGUUGAGUUAGAGUAAUAUUUGUUUGACUGUAUAUUUUCAUGUAUAGAGCCUUGUGAAUAUAAAGUAUGCCUCCUAUAAGCUAUGUAUGUAUUUGAAGUUUGAGCUAAUCUAGAGAUAGGUUCCUGGGAAGACCAUUUAAAGAAUUUAAUAGAUCCAUUUUCUUGUUCACUUGAUUUCUUCUUGAUUGAGAAUGGUUACUAAUCCUUUUCUUCCUUUCUUUUUCACGCAACACUUGGGAGCGUUUGGAGUUAUGGCAACUCCGGAUUCUGUCCAGAUCAGAGAAGAAACCAGUAGCAGCCCCCUUUGCUUGUGUCUAGCGUCCCUCGUUCGUGUCAAGCGUCCCUGUCCUCCUCCUUCUCUUCAAACUUUAUGUCUUUGCAUUAGCAUAUAUAUAUACAUGUUUAUAUUUUUGACUAACACUUUGUAUGGAUUGUAUUUGUAGCGUAUCUGUUUAUUGUUUGUGAACGAACCUGUGGAAAAAUGGCUGAGCAGAACAGGGAAUUUAGUCCUUA